Molecule: long non-coding RNA, 995 nt
Organism: Fukomys damarensis (Damara mole-rat)
Lineage: Eukaryota; Metazoa; Chordata; Mammalia; Rodentia; Bathyergidae
Exons: 6
Source: RefSeq, a predicted model, not a curated record
CAGGGACCCUCAUGGGUCAAUGGCUCGAAAGGGGUGUGUCAGGAAGCCUGCCACCUCGGCCUCCGGGCCAGGGGCAGUGCCAGCGGCUGACCCUGGCCAUGCAUGCCAGCCUCCAGAGCGGCUCCAGGCUCCAGCCUCCAUCUGUGCUGCCCUCUUACACUCUUGAUACUGCAGAGCAGCCGGAGUCGAAUGCGGGGGUGCUGCAGGGGUCCUGUGAGAGCAAAGUCCCUGGGGGCCGUUUGCUACCUACCCCAGAGAGAACGUGUUGUGCUUGCAUGACCUCAACCAGGAAGCCCAAAGCUUGUUGAUCUUGAGCACCUGCUGGAAUCUUGGCCCUGCUUCUGGGCAUGUAUCACCAAGUCUUAGGGUUCACAGGUGAGGGAAAUCUUUCAGCACUGAUGGUUCUAAGCAAGGAUGGACCUGGGUCAACCCUGAAGAGUGUCAGUGUAUACCACAGUCACAGAAGAUGGUGCAGGAAGCAGCCAGUUAUGAAGAUUACAACUUCUGCUUUUAUUUCCAUUGCCUGGAGCCUCUGUCUCAGUGGCCAGCACAGCCUGAUCCUCGCAGACUUGGAGUUUAGCACAACCUCAGGAGCCCUGGGAGCACCCUGGAAGCCCUCCUGAUGCAUUCCCUGGCCUGGCCGCAUGCCCCUGCCCUGGCAGGCUCUGCUCAACCCACCUUGAUGCUGGAAACAAAGGGCUCAGCUCAGCCCAAGCCACCACCUGGCUCCAUGGCCAGGACCAGUCCCAGUGCCAACUUCCUGGGAGCCAGGGCUGGGGCUGGGCUAGCGUUCAGAGACGCGCAUCUGAUACAGCAGGACACAGCCAUGAUGUGACCUUCGAGGGAGCCCAGGGCCAUGACAUCACACAAGAGACAGCCGCAUGGAGACCUGGGGCCAGAGCCAGGCCCUCUGACGUAUUCUCCCUCCCUACUCUCCUCUUUUCUCUUUCUUCUUGGAAACAGAAUCCAGGACCUUUGCACCAAGUUACAUCUUC